Molecule: long non-coding RNA, 1045 nt
Organism: Sebastes umbrosus (honeycomb rockfish)
Lineage: Eukaryota; Metazoa; Chordata; Actinopteri; Perciformes; Sebastidae
Exons: 3
Source: RefSeq, a predicted model, not a curated record
GUAUGAUAUCAGAAGAAACAUCAAGAUCAAGAAAUGUAACUCAUAUGAUGAUAUAAUACAUUUUAAAAUUGUGCUUCACAUUGUACUAACUGAGCAAUAAGAUGUGUCAUCUCUGGCUACCAUCUGUGUUUGGAUUAUGAAAAAGAGUUGCACAGUUGCAACGCAGGAAAACGGCUGAAAUUAUUUUUUUAUUGUGCAACAGACAGAAUAAUUUUUCAUCCUGAUAUUCAGAAGAAUUUUAUUUGUAUAAAUCUGUAAAAGAAAACAGAACAGAAAAAACUACUUCAGUUUUAUACUAAAUAGAUUUAUGAACAUGAUUUAAAGAUGAAGCUGAGAUCUCUCCAUUCCUACACCACCAUGUUCUUGUUUGGUUGCUUCGGCUGUGUUACUAGAUCAGGUUUUACACCCUUCAUUCACCACACAACCACUCAUCCAUCUGCUGACACACUGAUCACACUGAUUCAUUCAUUCAUGCAUUGAUUGGUUAUUGUAUGUUUAAUAAUAAACUUGUACACCUCUCUUGUCAUGGCUCAUGAGCCGGGUCAUGACACUCAUAAACACAUCACAUUAAAAAGCACACACACACACACACACACACACACACUCAGACACACAUGCACGAUCAGAUGAACUCACCUGAUUUCCUGUAAAUGGAGAGGGGAGGAGCCCCACCAACCAGUUGAUCCAGGUACAUGAACAGGAAGAGAAGCCUCUCUCUUAAAGUGUUUGACUCCAUUUAGAGUCAACGGAGCAGAAGACUGAAGACUGAAGACUGAAGACUGAAGCAGGACUGACUUCAGAUCAGAAGAUGGAGGAAGAGGAGGACAGAGCAGAGUCUCUAGUCUCCGGCUGUCUGUCUAUGAAGAGUGAUCAGUCUAAAGGUCUUCCUCUGAUCUUCAGUAAUGAACCUGGACCCUCAGAGUCAAAAGAGAAGAAGAGGAGUCAUGCUUCUGUGGAGGAGCCGAUGUCCAGAUCCAGAACAAUAUGGGGAACUAUUACAUCACCGUUCUAUCCCAGACAGACAGACACACUGAUGAAAGGGGAG